AUUGAACGCUGGCGGCAGGCCUAACACAUGCAAGUCGAACGGUAACAGGAAACAGCUUGCUGUUUCGCUGACGAGUGGCGGACGGGUGAGUAAUGUCUGGGAAACUGCCUGAUGGAGGGGGAUAACUACUGGAAACGGUAGCUAAUACCGCAUAACGUCGCAAGACCAAAGAGGGGGACCCUCGGGCCUCUUGCCUUCGGAUGUGCCCAGAUGGGAUUAGCUUGUUGGUGGGGUAACGGCUCACCAAGGCGACGAUCCCUAGCUGGUCUGAGAGGAUGACAAGCCACACUGGAACUGAGACACGGUCCAGACUACUACGGGAGGCAGCAGUGGGGAAUAUUGCACAAUGGGCGCAAGCCUGAUGCAGCCAUGCCGCGUGUAUGAAGAAGGCCUUCGGGUUGUAAAGUACUUUCAGCGGGGAGGAAGGGAGUAAAGUUAAUACCUUUGCUCAUUGACGUUACCCGCAGAAGAAGCACCGGCUAACUCCGUG
This 490-nucleotide ribosomal RNA is filed under the name uncultured bacterium. Its description in RNAcentral is "partial 16S ribosomal RNA". It matches the Rfam family "Bacterial small subunit ribosomal RNA", at positions 30 to 507 of the family's 1533-position model. The record is from RNAcentral.